This 225-nucleotide long non-coding RNA is filed under the name Coffea arabica (coffee). Its description in RNAcentral is "long non-coding RNA (CARA_LNC008243)". Lineage: Eukaryota; Viridiplantae; Streptophyta; Magnoliopsida; Gentianales; Rubiaceae. The record is from RNAcentral.
UGUGUUCCCUUUCCCCACCCCUCUAGUUCCCACAUCGGUAGGAUGUGGUUUGCAUCUUCAGUAUUUAGGGUCCUCAGUGGUAGUUAAAAGUUGGUACCUUUUGACUAUUGCUGUGGAGUUACUUUAGGUGUUGUGUGUGUGAGUUGUGUUCUUCCGUUGAAAAGAAACAGAGAUUCAGGAGAGGUAAAAAAACUGGUAAGGAUAGAUUCAGGAGAGUCGUCUGUG